Molecule: long non-coding RNA, 536 nt
Organism: Danaus plexippus (monarch butterfly)
Lineage: Eukaryota; Metazoa; Arthropoda; Insecta; Lepidoptera; Nymphalidae
Exons: 3
Source: RefSeq, a predicted model, not a curated record
UUGAGGAAAUAUGAAAAUUCAGUUAACAAAACGUAGUUUAAAGAAAUGUAAAUUUACUUUAAGUAAUUAUUAACAAAUUAUUAAUAAGAAAUAAUGCGAAAGUAAUGAUUUUUAUUUUUAUACUUAAAAAUAUAUUAUAUCUUAUAAGAUUUUUAAGAAAAUUUUGUAGUAAUCAAACUACCAAAACUGAAACGGUAUUUUUACGACACACAAAUAGUUAGGAUUGUUGGCAACACACUCCGUGACUCCUUUAAGACUGUAUCGGGUAUAUUAAAAUAAACUUUAUUUACUGCGAAGGCGAUGAGGGCUGUUGUGGACGUGGUUAUUUUGAUGUCUUAUAAAUGAAAAGCUAAUUUUCGUCCUGAUUGCGUCUCGAUGACUGAUGCUAACUGCUGAGUAGAUGCCAACUCGCCUAUUGCCCUGACUCACCUGCCAUCAAAAGACGACGAGACGAAACCUCUUGGUAUUCAAUGGAUUCACCGUGCGGAUGCCGGGAUCAUCGCGUUGCAGGGAGAGGAGCUUCAACAGCGCCUGGG